Non-coding RNA from Trematosphaeria pertusa, 76 nucleotides. The record is from the annotation of a RefSeq genome assembly. NCBI's taxonomy places the organism in Eukaryota, Fungi, Ascomycota, Dothideomycetes, Pleosporales, Trematosphaeriaceae.
GUGGGUGUAGUUCAGUGGCAGAACACCUGAUGUUUUGUACUGUCAGGAGACCGGAGUUCGAUUCUUCGCGCCCGCC